AGAUGCGAUCAUACCAGCACUAAAGCACCGGAUCCCAUCAGAACUCCGAAGUUAAGCGUGCUUGGGCGAGAGUAGUACUAGGAUGGGUCACCUCCUGGGAAGUCCUCGUGUUGCAUGCC
Molecule: ribosomal RNA, 119 nt
Filed under: Triticum dicoccoides
Lineage: Eukaryota; Viridiplantae; Streptophyta; Magnoliopsida; Poales; Poaceae
Source: RNAcentral